UGUAUCCUCCGGGCAUGUCCCGGCCUGUUCCCCUCCCCGCUCCCUGUUUCUCUGCCGAUUGGCUGGAGGAGCUGCAGGAGGAGACAGCCUCCAUUCGCCCCUUCUCUCCCCGUUCCUCCCUCUUUCCCUGUGCCUCUAUCCUGAUUUGCUCCCCCGCUUGUCUGUCUCAUGCUCCACCCUAUGUUCUGGGCCUUUCCCCUCCCGAGCUGAUAAAAGAUCGCAUACACAUGAGGAUAAAGCAUUCCGUCUGCAUCCCGGACUCGUGAGGUGCCACGGUCCCAUCCUCCCCUUCCGGACCGCGGCAAUUUCCUGCUACAGAAAAAGUAUUAACAUCUGACUAUGUGGACUUCAGAUAUGGAAGUCCCAAGUUCCAUUCCUUCCUCUUCUUACUUACCAUCAAACAGGAGAGAUCCUGGAUGAGCAAAUGUUUGCUCCUUUGGGCCUGGUGGAUUGAGCAGAUUUUCCUGUUGGAGUGGUUCUGUUGCAUAAAACCCCAUUCCAGGUUCUGACUCUGAAACACCAAGAGAUCUUCUGCUUUGGCUUUUUUUUUCCUCACCCAACAGACGAACCUCCCCGUUGUUCCUGUGUGAUCUCAGAUCUCUAUGGAUGGUGAAACAUUUGAGGUACAGAAGCUUUUAAAGUGUAUGAAGAAACGAUUAAGUACAUUAUGAAAGCAUUGAGGCCAAAGGAUCUGAGCCAGCUCUUUGCAUACCCAGCUCUAAUGGACCUACUAUUUACCCAGAAUUGAGCAGUAUAAAGCCUUCAUUACCAAUUGUUGGUUAGCUGGGAACUGCAUGUUUUCAAGUGGAGAAUGCACAGGAAUGGAGCUGCUGUGCAAGGCCUGAAGUGCAGAGGGUGGGAGCAGGAGCAUCCUGUGACAGCCCCAGGAACCCCCACCCCUCCUGCCCUGCCAUCACCCCCUGCACACUCAGGGGGUGACUCCUGGGCAGUUCUGGCUGUAAAAGAGAAGUUUCUGUCAGCCCUGCUGGCUGGGACAGGACCAGGGAGGAGCUGCACGGGUGUGUCCAGGAAGGGAGAGUGUCAUGAUUUUCUGACUGAUGUGGAGGAGAUGUUCACUGUCACUGGGGAAACUGUCACUGACAGACACAGAAAUUCAAAUACCGGUUUCUUCUGUGACACUUUUAUCAGGUUAUCCUAAUCUCCCAAGAACACUUAAGGACAGUAAGGCUGUGAAGAAGCAGAGAACUGAAGUUCCAUUACGACCCAGUCUGCAGCUUGUUUAGGACUAAGAUCCAUAGAGCAUGACUCUAACUCAGGUGAAGGUGUGACCCUGCCCUAAGGGAGUAAAUUCUGGAUCAUGCUUCCUCUUCCCUCUGGAACUCUCCAGCCUGAAGAAAACUCCAAAUAAAAUAGGAAAAUAUUAUUAGAAUUGUCACAUCGAAUCAAAGUUUCCAUUCCCCAAAAGCAUUUUUUAAGGUUCUCAUCACACCUUCAUGGGCUGAGGAAACCAGCUCUGGCUCGAAGUCACCCCACCUUUGCAAGAAAUGCUUUUAAACCUACUGGGUGAAUGACUGUUCAAGCCAAGAAUGUUACAGAGAGCCUGUAGGAAGUGGAGAGAUGGAUUGAUCAGCAAACAAAUCUGAAUCAGGAGUCAGAGAGCUUAUGGAGAAAGAAAGAAGUUGCUUUUCUGGCAAAAAAAUGAGUUUAUGCACAAAGCUAUAGGACUGAGAAGCACCAUGAGAAGAGGGAAGAAUGAUAAUAGAGGCUCAUGCAUUUUAGCUUGUAAGUGCCAUUACCUAACAUUUAAGAUACUGUGGGUUUUUCCAGUGCAUGUUCAAUGCUGAAAAGAGAAUAAACAUUGCUGUAGUAUUCCUAGGUAAAUUUUCUGCUUCAGAACUGAUCUAAGAAAUACUCAUUAGUUGUUAAUAUUCAGCUGAAUAAGCAAAUGUCCCUGAGCAGUGUAUUGCACAUACACAGAAAUAACUGGCUGUAUUUGAAGGAGCUUUUGGUGUAACAUGUAUUUCACAAGAAUUGCAAUUGAGAAAUUCUACUUUAGAACUUAAAAAGGAAAAGCUCUGAGACCUCAAUAUUUACAAAGCAGUGAAGGGGUUUUCAGGUUCCAGGAUAUUCAGAACUAGACUUUCAGAACUUUAAAUUAGAGGGUAUGUAGGUGAUCAGCACCUUUUGUUGGUGAAAAAGAGGACAAGAUUUCUGAGCACUACCAGGGAACCUGAAUAAGAGUUUCCUGGAAUGAGUGGAUGAUUAAGAGUAUUUUGUGCAGGUUUCAGUGUCCCUGUCUGUGUGCUGCUCAUGAGGGAAAAGAAAGGAUUCUCCAGAAAAAGAAAGGAUUCUCCAGAAAUUCUUAUCCUGUUGCAAUCUGCCUGGCUGAGGCCAGGAAGACAAGAUAUGAGAGAUGUUUUCAGUGGAUACAAAACCCAGGUGAUUAAAACUCAUUUAAGAAAAAACACAUAAAGGAAUUUGCAGGACAGGAAAGCAAAACAUGACUGUAGUUGGACAGUAGAAAAACAUGAUUAGGGGACCUUCUACCCCAAAUCCAAACUGCUGUGGCCCCAGGGUGCAAAGGCCAGCCUUGUAUGAGAGUUCUGCUCCCUCAGACUCGCUCGGGGGUUGUGAGGGGUUUGUUUUCUGCUCUUUGGCACUGUCAGACUGUGCCUGUUCUCUGCCAUUUGCAUAAACUCUCCAUUGACUAUUCUGUUCAGCUUCAGAGAAAUUGCUCUCAAUUCCUGUCAAUUUUUACAGAAUAUCACAUUAUGAUGUUUCUUAAGCUCUUUGGAUAAAACUGUGGUAGGAAUACAAUUAUCUAUAAAAUGUAGGUUGGGCCUCUAAACUACAUAAUGUCCUGCUAAAUCCCUUAAAACCAAGGCAUUCCCUGAAGGCUCCCUGGAAUGAUGUCUGACUUGAGGCUGUGUGAACAGUAACAGGAUGUGGCCUAGCAGUUUUAGGGGAAUAAACUUCUCCAGGCUUGUUCCACAUGGGAGUUUUGUGCUCUUAUACUUGGCUGUAAUUGAUUUUUUUUUGAAGACUUUGAGGGAAAAAAAUGAAGAAGCAAAGGAAAUCAAAACACCACCAAAAUACCUGUUAUAAAAAUAACUUAUCUCCAUGUAGUUGAUAUGGGGAUGAAGUUCUCUGCUCUGCAUUUAAGCAGUAGCAGUGUUCUCUAAUGCCUGCUUCAGUCAGAUUGAAAUACUCCCAUUUAUUUCAUUGGACCCAGUAGGUACAUUCAGUUCUGGUGCACUUCCCCUGAAAGGAACCCUUGGGAUUUAUUUGGACAAAAUAAUUUGACCUUAAGGUGACU
This is a long non-coding RNA of Pseudopipra pipra, 3277 nucleotides long. RefSeq lists it as uncharacterized. The record is from RefSeq and is a predicted model, not a curated record. The transcript has 12 exons. NCBI's taxonomy places the organism in Eukaryota, Metazoa, Chordata, Aves, Passeriformes, Pipridae.